UCUCAUUCCAUCUUCUAGAGAACCUUGGCUAACUGUUUGGUGGUUUCAUGUGUUUGAAACUAUAGGUUUCUAAAUUUUGCAUGACAGACUUUAAGAAAAGUCAUGUUGAAGA
Molecule: long non-coding RNA, 112 nt
Organism: Daphnia pulex (common water flea)
Lineage: Eukaryota; Metazoa; Arthropoda; Branchiopoda; Diplostraca; Daphniidae
Exons: 2
Source: RefSeq, a predicted model, not a curated record